Molecule: long non-coding RNA, 299 nt
Organism: Clarias gariepinus (North African catfish)
Lineage: Eukaryota; Metazoa; Chordata; Actinopteri; Siluriformes; Clariidae
Exons: 3
Source: RefSeq, a predicted model, not a curated record
ACGCAUACCGAGAACAGAGAGUAACUCAGACACAAUGGCCCAGAUUAAUGGUGUAGCUGUAACACUGGUGCUGCUUCUGACAGUCAGUCUGUUCUGUCAAGACACUGCUGCUUGGGCAUGUUGCAGGCGAUACUCCAAAGGUCAGCUCCCUGUUAGUUUAAUCCAAGGAUAUUCAAUCCAGACCAUUCAUGGACAAUGCAACAUCAAUGCUAUCAUUUUCCACACAUUUGGAGGCAGAAAAGUGUGUGUUGAUCCUACUAACUCCUGGGUGAGACACAGCAUCCAGCAACUCACGUAAG